RNAcentral lists this long non-coding RNA (762 nucleotides) under Pongo abelii (Sumatran orangutan). RNAcentral's name for it is "lincRNA". The record is from RNAcentral. Lineage: Eukaryota; Metazoa; Chordata; Mammalia; Primates; Hominidae.
AAAAUUGUUGUCAGACCAUUCUCUGUAGAUCUCUCUCAUUUCUGCAUAUCUUGAAUGCACAGGUACUAAUUGACCUUUGUUCUGGAGCAAAGUGCAGCCAUGUAUACUGUUUAGAAUUAUAAAUAAGUUAUCUGUCUGUGGCAAAGAUCAGGCCUGCUGACUCCUGGUUUUGAAAGACUUGGGUUCGAUAAGCUCAGGAAUCCUCUCCCGUAGAAUGUGUUCAAGCAUUUAUCUGGACACUUCUUGGAAACAAAGGAAACUGGAAACUAGCAAAUAUGCAGAUGCUCAUGCUUCUUGCUUUGUUUAAAGAGGAAAACUGAAGCAUUGUCUCUAAAAGUUUGAAACAUAUGGUUAAAGUAUAGGUGACUUCAGUGAUGCCACACACUGGCCACACACUAAGGAGAAAGGGUCUGGGAAAAGCAAGAAAGUCACCACUGAGGAAGUGAAGAAGGAGUUGCCAUCUGGAAAAUAGAGGUUAUGACGCAACAAGGCAAAAGGAAGAGGAUUCCACGGAGAGAACAGGAAACAGGAAAUGCAGGCACCCGGGCAACAGUAAAAUCACAAAUACAAAUAUGUCCUCUGACUAAUGCACACCCACACACACUCAAAUGCAGAAAAGGGUAAAAUUAGUUGCUUUCUCACAUUGGAUAACUUCUCAGGGCACAAUCUCAAGAUUGGUGAUUUGAUAAAAAAUUACAUAAUGUUUCACAUGUCUAGACUUCAAUCCAUUCUAAAUGAAUAUUUUCCUUCUUUAACCAGUAU